AAGAUUGCAUAAAUAAAACCAAAAGUUAAAAGCAGAGAAAUAAUUUCCCGCGAGAUUGGGCGGAGUGACAGAGAAAUGUCAGGCAGCGAACAACAGCAAGUAGCGCAGUCAGUGGCGGACGAACAGUCGCUGAGGGUAGCCGUCGCCAUCUCUCUUCUCCGAUCAAAACUUCUCCAAAAUCAGCCCCUUCCUCCUCCUCCACCCUCUGUCGAUCAAUCCGACGCUCUCCGAUGGAAGCGAAAGGCCAAGGAGCGAAAGCUCGAGCUUUUGAGACUCCGGCAGGAUCUCAACGAAGCUGAAGACGCUUCGCAGUGCGACUUGUUCCCGGAGAGCGCUUCCUGCAAGUGUUAUUUCUUCGAUAAUUUGGGGAAAUUAAGCCCUAGCAAGCGGCUUCCAGAUCCCUCUCAAUGCAGAUUCAAUGACGUCUUGCGACGCAGAUUUCUUCGACACGUGCGUUUCAAGGAAAGGAGAAGAAGAAGGACAAGCGGAUCGUCCCAGCGCCGCCAUUUCUCAGACACAAACAGUGAAGAUGAAAUGGAGCAGCUUAGAGCUUCGAUCGAUUUUCUUGUGGAGCUUUGUGAAAGCGAUUCUCCUGUUAGAUCCGUAGACGAUGCUAAUUUUAUGAACCGGUCACACCAAGCUGUAGACUUUAUUCUAGCUUCACUGAAGAAUCUGUUAUCCACUGUAAAUAAUGUGGAACUCAUAGAAGGAAUUAUCAACAGCUUAAUCACGCGUUUGGUUAGACGAAUGUGUUUCCCGUUGCAGGGAAAUGGAUCAGAACACUCUGAAUCUGAGGCUCAGUUUUUCGUUCAGCAUUUGAUCCGAAAGCUUGGAAGCGAGCCUUACGUUGGACAACGUGCAUUAUUCUCAGUUUCUCAGAGAAUUUCCGUCCUGGCGGAAAAUUUCCUCUUCAAAGAUCCAUUUGAUGAUGCUUUUACAAACAUGCAUCAAUGCAUGUUCAUACUGGACCGAAACCCAACUUGCUUGUUUUCUGCAUCCUUUUAUUCCUUGACAAUUUGGAUAUAAAACGUUGUUUGAGGAUCCACAAACCCAAAUACUGAGCAGAAAGGCAUUACCAUGGGAUUUGAGUUCCGUCCUUCGAGUGGCAAAAAUCCGUUAAGAGUCUCAUUGUUUCCCUAGACAAAAAAGCAUCCUACCUUCUUCCCUCAUGUUUCUUCCACCGAGUCUGCAGAAUUGUGGAUGGUUCCUUGUCAGUUUACCUAAGGAUCCAGCUUACUGAGUUUUUGGUAUCCGAUUACUUAUCUGAAUGGUCAAAGGACGAAGGUUUCAACACCAUGCUGUUUGAAGAGUGGGUGGCAUCAGUUCUUCAAGCACGUAAAGCAUUAGAAGUUUUGGAGAGCAGAAACGGGCUUUAUGUGAUGUACAUGGAUCGAGUGGUAGGCGAAUUGGCAAGACUCGUGGGCCAAACUAUGUCCCUGCAGAAGCUCAGUCGUGAAGUUCUUGACAGUCUGUUUCACUGAACCUCAUCUCUGCAAAUUAUUUUACGAAUUAUUUUUCUUUUGGAACUUGUCAAUUCGCAGCAGAUAUCUUUUAAAUUUCUUAAAAGGUUGAGAUUUAUGUCAAUUGAGGGAAACCUCGCCAGGUGGAAUCGGUGGGAGUCAGCAUGUUUUUGUGAGAGGUGUCAGUACGUGGGUGCUGAUGAUGAUAUUUCCUAGUCAAGUUCCUUUCCGAUAAUAACGAGACCGCAUUUUUUGUACCGCAUGUGAGCACGGGCAUCCGUGUGAAUUGAUAUGAGUUGGAUUUGAGGCUUUUUUCAAACUUUUCGGAAGCGAAGUGCAAUUAGAUGUAUUUUAUAUA
RNA transcript from Malus domestica (apple), 1818 nucleotides. It is a transcript of the gene named protein MULTIPOLAR SPINDLE 1, with no coding region annotated. Lineage: Eukaryota; Viridiplantae; Streptophyta; Magnoliopsida; Rosales; Rosaceae. The record is from RefSeq and is a predicted model, not a curated record.